Molecule: long non-coding RNA, 3211 nt
Filed under: Marmota monax (woodchuck)
Lineage: Eukaryota; Metazoa; Chordata; Mammalia; Rodentia; Sciuridae
Source: RNAcentral
UAUCCAUAUAAAUAUUUCCAUUAAGUACAUGUACUAAAAUAUCAUCUAUAGUCAGUAUUUUAAAGGAUUGUUUUUCUAAAUAUAGUAAUCAUACUAAUAAAGGGUCAAAAAGCUGUCGUAAGUAAAUUCACAACUUUUUAUUGUCUCCAAAGAGAUAUAUUGAUAGCAAUAAUAUUAAUAAUAACAUUUAAUAAGCAGUUAUGUAUACUAAGCACUUUAUUAUCAUUAUGCCAUUUAAUCCUCAUAACUGCUGAAUUGGUUUCUAUCCUUGUACAGUUGAGGGAAUUGACUUAGGUUAACUAACUUACUUAGGAUAACGCAACUACUAAGCGACAAAGCCAAGCUAAUAAUGAUAAAGUUUCCUGUUUUGGUCAGGAUUAUGGACAGGAUAAUGUUCUCUUAAAUUAAUGGAAAAAGUAAUGUGUAAAAAUAAAAGUUUUAAUCUGACUCAAUCUCUAGUGCUAAUUUCUAGAUUGAUAUUACCACCAUGUUUUUUCUUUUCCUUAAGAACGUGUUUCCCUUUGAGCCUUGAAUACUUUGGCUCUAUUACUUUCAUCUUCUUGGGGUUGAGCAAUCAGAAGAAUGGGAGAUUUCAACUGGAAUGUUUCUAUAUAGGCUAUUAUAAUUCAGUUCAACCUAUUGAGUAUUUGUUAACUCAUUUUACGACACUUGUGAUGACAUAAAAACACUGAGCUUUCUGUAUCAGCACUCUUCAAUGAGCAGAUUGCUCCUUGGCAUCCUGGAUUAUGGAGGUCUGAGUUCAUGCAACUCUAAUUCUGUUAUCAGCACUUUUUUUCUUUGCAGUGCUAGGGAUCAAACCCAGGGCCUAGAUGCAGGUGCUGGGCAAUCACUCUACUACUGAGCUCCAACCUUACUACCUACAUUCUAGCCCUAGCACUAACUUUUAUGUAAAAGUCAAAGUUUGUAUUUCCUUUUAACCUCUGUAUUGUGGGUCAUACUGCAUUUGAGUGAUGCCCAAGGACGUUGUAAGAAAUUCAGAUUAUUUAAGCUUUUCAAUAUUGAGAUGAAUGUUAGAUUUGAAAUAGAAAUUCUUCUGUAGGUAACUUAGCAGUGUUUCCCCUAAUGUUUAAAGCUGUUGCCAACCCAGAGUCCAGUCUCUAACCUUUUAUUUAUUUGGUACUAGUGAUUAAAAUCCAGGGGCGCUUUAUCACUGAACUCCAUCCCCAACCCUUUUUUAUUUAUUUUGAGAUUGGGUCUUGCUACAUUGCCUAGGCUGGCCUUGAACUUGCCCAUCUAUAUGCCUUAAACUUCCAAAUAGUUAGGAUUACAGGCAAGUGCCAGCAUGCCUAGCUCAUCCUUUUAAAAGUUUUUGAAUUAUGUUGAUUUUUUUCUUCUAAAUAUUUACAUUUUAUCUAAUGAGGCAUUUUAAACAUUUUGUAUUUAAAAUAUUUGCAUUAUUCUGAAUAAAACAUUCAUUCUUAUUUUUUUGAAAGAAUGUGUACUGAUGAUAAUGUAUAACCAGUAUACAAUAAAUAAUAUAUUUUAAUAGAAGAAUUCAAGACCGUAGAGGUAGGGUUAAAGUAUCUGUAUAAAUUAAAUGGAAUUUGUAUUUUAUACAGCUUACUUGAACAUACCAUCACCAUUUUUUUUCUUAUAUAUUAACUAUAUUUAGUAUUUGGAACCAUUGGUAUCACGUUGUAGUUAGCUCUGACUGACCAGUCAGUGAAAUGAUAAAAAGCAGUUACUAUACAGUACUUUGUGGAGAGCAACCCAUGUGCCGAAAGAGAGGACACACUGAGUCACAUUACUACUACCAAAUUUUUUCUUAGCACUUACUUACCCAGGGAACUCUAUACAUAGCACAGAGUGUUCAGUACUAAGUAACAGAUACUUCUGGACUUGAGUUCAGUUCACUUACCAGGAAUUGUGAACAAGAUUAGACUGGUCUGAAAAUUGCACCUGAUUUAAAAAAAAAUAUUUGUAUAAAGAAUUUAUGGGGACUUCCAAGAAGAUGGCGGCGAGGGGAGUGCAUUGCCCCCGUGUGCUGCUUCACUGUGUGGGAGUAUGACAAGUCAGGACUGCUAAAGGCUAUCUUGUUAGGAAUUUCCAGCAAUAGUGGGGUGCUCUGGAACCUGGAGGAAGGAUUUCCAUCGCACGAGGAUCGGCUACGGGGACUCAAACGCGAGAGGUUUGUCGCAUGGAGGGUAACACUGCUUAUUCAGCAAAUCGCCCCGCGGCUAGAGUCUGCAGCGCGCGCUGGGAAACGAGGAGAUAGCGACGCAGGGAGACAGCGCUGCAGUUUCUGCCAGCCGUGCAAGCACCGUACUCAGGGCUGAAUUCUGGGUUUGAGACAGGGGAAGGAAGCGGUCCAUCUCGGUUCUCCACACCGGUCAGACCACAGAGGAGGCCAGCAGCCACCAUGUUGGAAAGCUGACGUCACCAUCCCUGUUUUCGACUGACCGCAGCUCAUUCAGCCAUAGAACAGGUAAUUUCAGGCUGCCAUUCGCCUGCGGCUUGCAGACAGUUGCUAGGGUUCAGUGCCUGGGGGCUUCUUAGAACCUGAUCUUAUCGGAGCGAACACCGAGCGCGGGGAGGCCGAGUUCCGGCUCCCGGAACCGCCCUGGCCCAGGGCUGGGGAGCCUGCAGAGGCUGCUUCUUGGACCCUGCUCCUAUCAGAGCAUACACCAAGCACUAAGCGGCUGAAUUCCGGCUCCUGGAACUGAGCCCGCGGGGACUGCUUCUUGGAGCCUACUCUUAUCAGAGCUUACACCGAGCACGGAGCGGCCGAGUUCUGGCUCCUGGAACUGCCCUGGCCCAGGGCUAGGAGCCCACGGAAACUGCUUCUCGGUCCGGGUCCUGCUGAGGGCUGGUCAGGACUCACCCGUUGCUUUGGUUGCACGGCAAGGGGAACGAAAUGCUGCCAUUCGCAUAGGAUACCAACAUGGCAGAGAUCUGAUGUCAUCAGAAAGCGGCGGAGGAGAGAACUUCAUCAAUACCAGCGGCGACAGAAACAGUUGGUCUCCUGGUAGGGGGGGUGAGGCACAGACACCCGAGUCUCCUCAAUUUGUCGUCGAGCCAGAGGGGAGGAGCCGGGCCGCCGCCAGCGCCCGGAGCAGGCCCAGCGGCUCGCCAGCGUGGUGACCGCGUGACCCCAAUUGGAGAGGGGGCGGAGCGGAGCCGCCACCCGCACCCGCAAGGUGGGCAGACCCGCGACCCAGUGGUACAUGGGCGUGGUAGGAGGGGCAGGGCA